UCAGUGAUUGUCUUGAUGUUGUAAUUGUGUGACUGGUCCAUUGACCUGUGAUGGUAUGACUGCUCGCAGUGAGACUGCUGGAGUUUGACUGAUACAUAAAUAUGACCUCAUUGAGACCUUGUAGUAGAUGUUAGUGAUAGUUGAUCCACUGUAGGAGUAGGAUGCACAUCUAGAUGGAAUCUAUCGAUCUUGAUAGAGAGUAGUCUUAUGAGAUUUGAGAGGUUAAG
This 227-nucleotide long non-coding RNA is filed under the name Elaeis guineensis (African oil palm). RNAcentral's name for it is "long non-coding RNA (EGUI_LNC026114)". The record is from RNAcentral. Lineage: Eukaryota; Viridiplantae; Streptophyta; Magnoliopsida; Arecales; Arecaceae.